This is a long non-coding RNA of Hippocampus zosterae (dwarf seahorse), 689 nucleotides long. RefSeq lists it as uncharacterized. The record is from RefSeq and is a predicted model, not a curated record. The transcript has 6 exons. Lineage: Eukaryota; Metazoa; Chordata; Actinopteri; Syngnathiformes; Syngnathidae.
CAAUACCCUCUUGCCGUAAAUCAAUGUCGUAAAAUUACGCCAAGAACACCGGUCAUCAUGUGGGAGGCAACAAAAAACGCCACGGUUUUGUAAGAAAUGUCGGUGUAAACAUGACAUUUAACGACCAAGUGACGAAACAUGGCUGUUGAAUUUCGGGUUGAUCGGUGAAACUUUCCAUGAAACGCUACUGAGAGAAACCUGGGAUAAGGUUCUGUGGGCUGACUGCAAUUAAAUGACACUUCACGACUCAAGGGGGAGCCCUGGCGCCGCGGCGGUCCCUUACAGCUCUUUUAACAGGGAAGUAAGGCUAGCCACACCCCAGGCAUCUUGCGGCUGUGCAACCAGGUGGAUGCUUUGCUGAACUAACAAGGCGGCGUGAAGUGUGCGCUUCUUCUUGCUGGGUGGCUGCCUGAAAUGUCAGCGCUGAAGGAACAGAUAGUGCCAGUUUGAAAAACGACGCCCUCUUGUGGAUGAGGGGUGCAACUAUCUCUGAUCAAGAUGUGGAACAAAGACACAAACAUGAGGAAAACACCAAAAAGGGUGACCAGCAGCACCAGGGCGCCGAUGGUGGUCAUCAUGCCGCCGUAGUAGGAGAGCAGAGCAUCGCGGCAGCCGCUCUUCCACACGUUGAGGUCCUCGGUGUAGUGGUCGUAGCUGUAAUGCGCCGAGUUGUUGGUCAUCUGAUGCUG